UGGGGAAUUUUGGACAAUGGGCGCAAGCCUGAUCCGGCCAUGCCGCGUGCGGGAAGAAGGCCUUCGGGUUGUAAACCGCUUUUGUCAGGGAAGAAAUCUUCUGAGUUAAUACCUCGGGAGGAUGACGGUACCUGAAGAAUAAGCACCGGCUAACUACGUGCCAGCAGCCGCGGUAAUACGUAGGGUGCAAGCAUUAAUCGGAAUUACUGGGCGUAAAGCGUGCGCAGGCGGUUUUGUAAGACAGAGGUGAAAUCCCCGGGCUCAACCUGGGAACUGCCUUUGUGACUGCAAGGCUUGAGUGCGGCAGAGGGGGAUGGAAUUCCGCGUGUAGCAGUGAAAUGCGUAGAUAUGCGGAGGAACACCGAUGGCGAAGGCAAUCCCCUGGGCCUGCACUGACGCUCAUGCACGAAAGCGUGGGGAGCAAAACAGGAUUAGAUACCCUGGUAGUCCACGCCCUAAAACGAUGUCAACUGGUUGUUGGGAAGGUUCCUUCUCAGUAACGUAGCUAACGCGUGAAGUUGACCGCCUGGGGAGUACGGCCGCAAGGUUGAAAC
This 554-nucleotide ribosomal RNA is filed under the name uncultured bacterium. RNAcentral's name for it is "partial 16S ribosomal RNA". It matches the Rfam family "Bacterial small subunit ribosomal RNA", at positions 355 to 900 of the family's 1533-position model. The record is from RNAcentral.